GAUGAAGAACGCAGCGAAAUGCGAUAAGUAAUGUGAAUUGCAGAAUUCAGUGAAUCAUCGAAUCUUUGAACGCACCUUGCGCUCCUUGGUAUUCCGAGGAGCAUGCCUGUUUGAGUGUCAUUAAUAUAUCAACCUCUUCAGCUUAUGCUUGUUGAGUGUUGGAUGGUGGGGGUUUGCUGGUGUUUUAUGAAGUCAGCUCCUCUGAAAUGCAUUAGCGGAACAAUUUGUUGACCGUUCAUUGGUGUGAUAAAAAUAUCUACGCUAUUGACGUCAGUCAGUUCAGCUUCUAACAGUCCAUUGACUUGGACAAAUUUUUCAUUAAUGUGACCUCAAAUCAGGUAGGACUACCCGCUGAACUUAAGCAUAUCAAUAAGCGGAGGA
RNAcentral lists this unclassified non-coding RNA (381 nucleotides) under soil metagenome. RNAcentral describes it as "partial contains 5.8S ribosomal RNA, internal transcribed spacer 2, and large subunit ribosomal RNA". The stretch from base 1 to 120 matches the Rfam family "5.8S ribosomal RNA", at positions 35 to 154 of the family's 154-position model. The record is from RNAcentral.